RNAcentral lists this ribosomal RNA (254 nucleotides) under uncultured bacterium. Its description in RNAcentral is "partial 16S ribosomal RNA". It matches the Rfam family "Bacterial small subunit ribosomal RNA", at positions 526 to 779 of the family's 1533-position model. The record is from RNAcentral.
CGUAGGUGACGAGCGUUGUCCGGAAUUAUUGGGCGUAAAGGGAGCGCAGGCGGUUGGAAUAGUCUGAUGUGAAAGCCCACGGCUUAACCGUGGAAGGUCAUUGGAAACUGUCCAACUUGAAUACAGAAGAGGUAAGUGGAAUUCCAAGUGUAGCGGUGAAAUGCGUAGAUAUUUGGAGGAACACCAGUGGCGAAGGCGACUUACUGGUCUGUAAUUGACGCUGAGGCUCGAAAGCGUGGGUAGCAAACAGGAUU